CGUAGGGGGCAAGCGUUGUCCGGAUUUAUUGGGCGUAAAGCGCGUGUAGGCGGCCAGGUAGGUCUGGUGUGAAAACCCGAGGCUCAACCUCGAGAGGUCAUCGGAAACCAUCUGGCUAGAGUCCGGAAGAGGAGAGUGGAAUUCCCGGUGUAGCGGUGAAAUGCGCAGAUAUCGGGAAGAACACCUAUGGCGAAGGCAGCUCUCUGGGACGGUACUGACGCUGAGACGCGAAAGCGUGGGGAGCGAACAGGAUUAGAUACCCUGGUAGUCCACGCCGUAAACGAUGGGUGCUAGGUGUGGGUGGUGUCGACUCCAUCCGUGCCGAAGCUAACGCAUUAAGCACCCCGCCUGGGGAGUACGGCCGCAAGGCUA
Molecule: ribosomal RNA, 372 nt
Filed under: uncultured organism
Description: bacterial SSU rRNA
Rfam family: Bacterial small subunit ribosomal RNA
Source: RNAcentral